This 28-nucleotide non-coding RNA is filed under the name Rattus norvegicus (Norway rat). Lineage: Eukaryota; Metazoa; Chordata; Mammalia; Rodentia; Muridae. The record is from RNAcentral.
UUGCAGGGUUUGCCCAUAUGAAGAGUUC